RNAcentral lists this ribosomal RNA (253 nucleotides) under uncultured bacterium. RNAcentral's name for it is "partial 16S ribosomal RNA". It matches the Rfam family "Bacterial small subunit ribosomal RNA", at positions 524 to 776 of the family's 1533-position model. The record is from RNAcentral.
UACAGAGGGGGCAAGCGUUAUUCGGAAUUAUUGGGCGUAAAGGGCGCGUAGGCGGCCUGGCAAGUGGAAGGUGAAAUCCCUCGGCUUAACCGAGGAACUGCCCUCCAAACUGCUUGGCUUGAGUCCGGUAGAGGAAGGUGGAAUUCCUAGUGUAGAGGUGAAAUUCGUAGAUAUUAGGAGGAAUACCGGUGGCGAAGGCGGCCUUCUGGACUGUUCUUGACGCUGAGACGCGAAAGCGUGGGUAGCAAACAGG